CCUACGGGAGGCAGCAGUGGGGAAUAUUGCGCAAUGGGCGAAAGCCUGACGCAGCGACGCCGCGUGAGGGAUGAAGGUCUUCGGAUCGUAAACCUCUGUCAGCAGGGAAGAACGGUCACUGUGCUAAUCAGCAGUGAAUUGACGGUACCUGCAAAGGAAGCACCGGCUAACUCCGUGCCAGCAGCCGCGGUAAUACGGAGGGUGCGAGCGUUAAUCGGAAUUACUGGGCGUAAAGCGCUCGUAGGCGGUAUGUCAAGUCAAGGGUGAAAUCCCCGCGCUCAACGUGGGAACUGCCUUUGAUACUGGCAGACUGGAGUGUGUGAGAGGAGAGUGGAAUUCCAGGUGUAGGAGUGAAAUCCGUAGAUAUCUGGAGGAACAUCAGUGGCGAAGGCGACUAUCUGGCACAUAACUGACGCUGAGGAGCGAAAGCGUGGGUAGCAAACAGGAUUAGAUACCCCAGUAGUC
This 465-nucleotide ribosomal RNA is filed under the name uncultured bacterium. Its description in RNAcentral is "partial 16S ribosomal RNA". It matches the Rfam family "Bacterial small subunit ribosomal RNA", at positions 338 to 795 of the family's 1533-position model. The record is from RNAcentral.